GACGAACGCUGGCGGCGUGCUUAACACAUGCAAGUCGAACGGAAAGGCCCUGCUUUUGUGGGGUGCUCGAGUGGCGAACGGGUGAGUAACAAGUGAGUAACCUGCCCUUGACUUUGGGAUAACUUCAGGAAACUGGGGCUAAUACCGGAUAGGAGCUCCUGCUGCAUGGUGGGGGUUGGAAAGUUUCGGCGGUUGGGGAUGGACUCGCGGCUUAUCAGCUUGUUGGUGGGGUAGUGGCUUACCAAGGCUUUGACGGGUAGCCGGCCUGAGAGGGUGACCGGCCACAUUGGGACUGAGAUACGGCCCAGACUCCUACGGGAGGCAGCAGUGGGGAAUAUUGCACAAUGGGCGGAAGCCUGAUGCAGCAACGCCGCGUGCUGGAUGACGGCCUUCGGGUUGUAAACCGCUUUCGCCUGUGACGAAGCGUGAGUGACGGUAAUGGGUAAAGAAGCACCGGCUAACUACGUG
This 468-nucleotide ribosomal RNA is filed under the name uncultured bacterium. RNAcentral's name for it is "partial 16S ribosomal RNA". It matches the Rfam family "Bacterial small subunit ribosomal RNA", at positions 28 to 507 of the family's 1533-position model. The record is from RNAcentral.